UUUCGUCUCCCCCACGCCUUCUCGCCUCUCCUCCCGUCUCCCCACUCCUCCCCACGCCCCUUCUCUUACACCCACGCCUCUCACACCCCGGGGAGGCAAGUUUAAUCUCCCCAUCAUCGGAGAGACCAAAAUCUUUCAUAUCUUUCGUCUCCCCCACGCCUUCUCCCCUCUCUUCACGUCUCCCCACGCCUCCCCAAGCCCCUUCUCUCACACCCACGCCCCUCACACCCCGGGGAGGCAAGUUUAAUCUCCCCAUCAUCGGAGAGACCAAAAUCUUUCAUAUCUUUCGUCUCCCCCACGCCUUCUCGUCUCUCCCCAUGCCUGCCCACGCUUCUUCACGCCCCAGCACCUGAACCCACGCCCCUCACACCCCGGGGACACAAUUUUACUCUCCCCAUGACUAUCAAAUCAACCUUCGACGGGGAGACAAAAACCUUCCAUCUCUUUCGUCUCUCCCACGCCUUCUCGCCUCUCCCCACGCCUUCCCGGAGCACACACAGCAGGGAGAUCAAAACCCACGCCCCUUACACCCUGAGGACACACGCCUGUUCCCCGCAAGCUCCCCGCGCCUCAAAAAGUGAAGAUCAAACAGGUUACUCCAGGAAGCCACGCCUCUCCUCCCCUCGCGAGAAGACAAGAAUCUACUCUAGGGAGACGCAUCAGGCUUCCACACCUCUGCCUUCACCUCCCCACGCCUCCUCACGCCUUCCCACGCUUCCCCACGUCUUCCCACGCCUUCUCACGCCUUCCCACGCCUUCCCAUAUCUCUACCCAAAGCAACCAUGGCGAGGAGACUAAAAAAUCCACUCCAAGAAGACACAUCAAUCCCCUUCACAUCUCUCUUCGCCUCCCCACGCCUCCCCAUAUCUCUACCCAUAACACCCGUAAGAAGACUUAAACAUCCACUCUCAGAAGACACAUGAAUACCCUUCACAUCUGUCUUCGCCUCCCCACGCCUCCACACGCCUCCCCAUGUCUCUACCCAUAACACCCAUGAGGAGAAGACUUAAAACAUCCACUCUCAGAAGCCGCAUCAUUCCCCCCUCCUCUCCCUCGUGUCUGCCUCACAUCCCACGCCUCAGUGCUCACGGCGGAGGGCCCAAGCAGCUGCCGCCACGCCUCUCCAACCCCCAACGCAAGAGGCCACAAAUAAACCAUAUCAAUAAGAGGUUACUUACCCUAAGGCGCGCCCUCAGACUGCUCGGUGACUUCGCCAAUGGGGUGAGAUAAGGCGAGGGCGGUCGGUAAAGAGUGCCUACUGAAACUCACAGGAAACUACCUACCGUGUGAGCUGAAUGGUGACCCUGAGACAGUGUGAAGAGAACCUAGCAUAGCAGGGUCGGGAAGGGAGAUAUUACUGUGUUCUUGACGGUGAUUAUGGAAGACUUUUUGUGAUUAUGAAAGUGUUUUGUGAUUAACGUGUUGGCUUGACCGUCAGUAGUCCGUUAGCCCUGAGACCGUAUAAACAGAACCUAACGUGUCAGUGUCAGCAAGGGCGAUGUUACUGUGUUCUCAACGGUGAUUAUGAAAGUCUUGGUGAUUUACGUGUUAGCGAGAUCGUUAGCUCUAAGACGGUGUAAAGAGAACCUAACGUUGCAGUGUCUGGAAGGGAGAUAUUACAAUGUUCUCAACGGUGAUUUUGAAAGUCUUUGGUGAUGAACGUGUUGGCAUGACUGUUAGCAAAGAAAAUCUAACUAACUAAUUGUGUUCUCAACGUUGAUUCUGGAAGUCUUUGGUGAUUAACGUGUUGGCUUGACCGUUAGCAAAGAAAAUUUAACGUAACAGUGUCAGGAAGGGAGGUAUAACUGUGUUCUCUACGGUGGUUGUGGAAGUCUUUGGUGAUUAACGUGUUGGCCCAGAGGCAGUGUAAGGAAAACCCAACGUAGCAGCGUCAGGAAGGGAGGUAUUACUGUGUUCUUGACGUGUUGGCGUGUUCCCGUCUCGACCAUUCUUGUGUUCGUGUGAGCGCCUCAGUGGAAGGGAACGGUGUGUGAGCAGAAGUUCCCGUGUUUCAUCCCUUCUUCUGACUGACCUGACUGACCUGACCCCGUGAAGCUGCGAGUGAUACGCGAGGAAGACGUGUUCAUUCUGUGCAGCUGGAUUGAAAUGAGUGAGUUUGGAAGACAGAGGAAAAGAGAAAGACAGAGACAGACGUUCACAAGGGAGAUAGAUGUGUUGGUUCUGUGUUGCCAUGUUGAAAAGAGUGAGUUAGGAAGACAGAAACAUCGAGAACGAGAAGGAGAAAAAGAGAAAGACAUAGAGAUACGUACAUAAGUAACACUGACGUGUGUAUUCUGUGUUGCUGUGUUGAAACGAAUGUCUGAUAGUGAGUGAGGAGAGGGACAUAUAAAGAGAACGAGAAGAAGAAGAGAAAGACAUAGAGAAACAUAUACAAAUGAGGUAGACGUCCUGUGUAGCAGAGACGACUAACAAGUAAGAUAAAAAAAACAUGGAAAAAUAAUUUGAGAGAAAGAAACGUAUUAGUAACCGUAAGAAAAGUAUUUUAAGAGAGACAAAACUCGACUCUAUUCUUCCUAUGGUGCCAAAAACGACAAUAAGAGUAAUACAGUAACUUGAAAAAGAAGAAAGAAUUAUAGAGGAAAAUACUGUGUUGUUUUAGCUUUAAGAAGAGCAACUAUAGCAAAGAAAGUGUAAAAUAACAAUAGAACCCACGAUUGAAGAGAGAGAAAAAGUAUUGCGUUAGCCUUAAGAUGAAUGUCGAAAGCGGUGAAUCCUCCUUCCCUUCAUCCUUCUCAUGGGAUGAAAAGAAGGAAAUAUUGAAGCAGAGCAGGAGAAUGUAGAAUGGAAUGAGAGGGAAUGAGAGGAAUGAGUUGAAGAUGUAUAUUAGAAUCUGUUACAAGGUUAAGGAAUGCAUUAUGUACUCUGCCAUGAUGGGAUGAAAGGAAGGGAAUGUUAGAUGAAAGGAGAAAGUAAGAUCGAAUGUCACUUGUACUUAAGGCAUGAGAGGAAUGAGUUGGAGAUAUAUACUGCAGUGUAAUAAAUAUGAUGGCUUGAGAGGAAGGGAAUGUCACAGUAAAGCAGGAGAACGUAAGAAUGCAAUAUUAUUUGUAUUUAAGGAAUGAGGGGAAUGAGUUUCAGUAUGCAGUGUGAUAAAUAUUAAGAACUUCAGUGUAAUGUAACGAGAGGAAUGACAAUACACCGCUGAAUGAGAAUUAGGAAUGAGUGUGGAAUGAAUGAAAAGGAGGAAAAGAAAGGGAAUGAGGGGUGGAAUGUUUUUAGUACGUGAGGAAUGAUAGAAAACUAUUAUAGAGUUAAUGAAAAGAGGAAAAGAAAAGGAAUGAGGGGUGGAAUGUUUUUAGUACGUGAGGAAUGAUAGAAAAUUAUUAUAGAGUUACUGAAAAGAGGAAAAGAAAGGGAAUGCAAGGAGGAAUGGACUCAAGGGAUGUUGGGGCAUGCCAAUAUGAGGUAUGAAAAGAAAGGAAUGCAAAAUGUAAUGUUUCUAGUACUUAAGAAACGAAAGGAAUUAUUAUAGAGAGAAUGUAAGGAAGAAAAGGAAUGCAAGGUGGGAAGUACUCAAAGUAUGAUAGGAAAUUAUGAUAGAUGGAAUGUAACAUGAAAAAGAAAGGGAACGCAAGAUGGAAUGACCGCGAAGAAGAAUAGGAAAAUGGUCUCGGGAAUGUAAUAAAGGGAAUGUCAUCGUACGUACUAACGAGUAACGUAAGAUGUAAUGCUUCUGGUACUUAAGGAAUCAUAGGAAAGGAACGUACCAUAGAAAAGAAAGGGAACGCAAGAUGGAAUGACCGCGAAGAAGAAUAGGAAAAUGGUCUCGAAAAUGUAAUAAAGGGAAUGUCAUCGUACGUACUAACGAGUAGCGUAAGAUGUAAUGCUUCUGGUACUUAAGGAAUCAUAGGAAAGGAACGUACCAUAGAAAAGAAAGGGAACGCAAGAUAGAAUGAACGCGAAGAAGAAUAGGAAAAUGGUCUCGGAAAUGUAAUAAAGGGAAUGUCAUCAUACGUACUAACGAGUAACGGAAGAUGUAAUGCUUCUGGUACUUAAGGAAUCAUAGGAAAGGAACGCACCAUAGAAAAGAAAGGGAACGCAAGAUAGAAUGACCGCGAAGAAGAAUAGGAAAAUGGUCUCGGAAAUGUAAUAAAGAAAAACAAGUGAAGGUGAAUGCGUAGGUCUAACGUUUCAAGGUAUUCAAGAAGCCUAACAUAUCAUAACAUUGGUGUGGCCGAGGCGAACAUUACUUACUCACUCACUCACGCCGAGACUCACCACCGCCUCCACCACCAUCACCACCACCACCACCCCUCAACUCCAACUCUCCCUUCUGUAGGCUAGACACCGCCGUUUGCACUCAUAGAAAAGGCGAUAUUUUGAACUUUUUUCUUUACGUUCUUUAGUUUUUCCAUUUUUAUUGAUUUUUCGUUUUUAUUUUUUCAUUUUUUAGUUUUUUUAAUUGUUUUUUUGUUUAUUUUAUUUUUUACUUUAUAUUAUUAUUUGAAUAGACGAUAAUUUUAACUUCUUUUAACUUUCUUCGACAUUUUCUUAACUUUUCUUUCUCUGAAUUAUUUUUUUGUGUGUUUUCGAUUUCAUAUUAUUACUUGAAAAGACGACAUUUUUUUUUUUACUUUUUCUUUACGUUCUUUGACAUUUAGGAACUUUUUUUUUAUACUUGACUUUUGUUUUAUACUUUCGACUUCAUAUUUUUACUUUUUUUCUACACUUUCGAUUCUGUACACAAUUUUUUUUGCUUGGAAAUUGCCGCCGCCGGGAUUCUGUCUCUCCGGGGUGGCUCAUUUUUAAUCCUCCCAAGCAUACCAUUAACCUUCGUGCGGGCGGAUCUAAACUUAGCCUUUCCGCGGGGUCGAUAUCGCCUUUUCCACGAGGGCGGGCGGCGCGGACGCUUAUAUUACAAAAAAUGGAAAAAAAUGUCACUUUAUCUUGUCUCUGGUUAAGGAUUUCCACUCUACUAUGGUGCUGUUUUCUGUAAAGUCUCGCAACCCUUGACGCACUCUCGCCCUGGCUGGCUGGCUGUCCCCCUCGUAGGUUUAAGUCAACCGCUGACGUCGAAACUGUUAAAUAAGUCGUAGCGUUAAGCCGCGGCCGCCCCGACUCUGUGACUGUGUGUGUGUGUGUGUGUGUGUGUGUCGAGUCACGGCGCCGCUCUGUAUAUGAUGUGAGUGACGGCCGCGCGGGCAGGGUGACUGAAUGUAAUGUUAUCACUAUACGAAGACUUGAUGUGUGAGUCUUCGUGUUUCCUCGCCUGGAGCACUUGCAGGCGAGCCCAUGAUAAUAAUAAUAAUAAAAAUAAUAAUACUAAUAAUAAUACUUAUAAUAAUGCUAUAAUAAUAUUACAUAUAAUACUAAUGAUAAAGAUAAUAAUAAUGAUGCUUCUGCUAUAACUAGACACUUACUAGUACUACUACCAUUUUUACUACUACUACUACUACUACUACUACUACUACUACCACUGCUAUUACUACUGCUACUACUACUACUAAUACACUAAUACUCUCUGGAGCCUCUUUUGGAACGAGUCUGGCAGCUAAGGCGUUCUCUUCCGCCUCAUCCUUUCCCUUCAUUUGGAGUACGUUCGCUAAUUUGUACGCCGCGGUCCAUUUAGUACGCACGCCAGGGGAAGGAAUUUGCUCUGGGGGAAAUUUGAGCUGACAUAAAAUGAACCUUUGGCAUAAUAAGAAUUUCGUCAUCAUCGUCAUCAUCAUCAUUAACAUCAUCAACACAAUCAUUUAUAACCAUCAUUAGUAGGUAUACAUCAAUAAUUCGUUGCAGUUUAAGGACUUUUCACAAUAUUUUCCACCUGGUUCUCUCUGUCUGGUGUUAGUGUACUCCAUCCUGCCCCGGUAAAGGUUCUAAUUUCAUCUCUCCACCUGGUUCUCUGUCCGGUGUUAGUGUACUCCAUCCUGCCCCGGUGAAGGUUCUAAUUUCAUCUCUCCACCUGGUUCUCUGUCCGGUGUUAGUGUACUCCAUCCUGCCCCGGUGAAGGUUCUAAUUUCAUCUCUCCACCUGGUUCUCUGUCUGGUGUUAGUGUACUCCAUCCUGCCCCGGUGAAGGUUCUAAUUUCAUCUCUCCACCUGGUUCUCUCUGUCUGGUGUUAGUGUACUCCAUCCUGCCCCGGUGAAGGUUCUAAUUUCAUCUCUCCACCUGGUUCUCUCUGUCUGGUGUUAGUGUACUCCAUCCUGCCCCGGUAAAGGUUCUAAUUUCAUCUCUCCACCUGGUUCUCUCUGUCUGGUGUUAGUGUACUCCAUCCUGCCCCGGUGAAGGUUCUAAUUUCAUCUCUCCAUAUGGUUCUCUCUGUCUGGUGUUAGUGUACUCCAUCCUGCCCCGGUGAAGGUUCUAAUUUCGUCUCCCAAUUGGUUCCCUGUGUACUCCAUCCUGCUCCGGUAAAGGUUCUAAUUUCAUCUCCUAAUCUUCCCUGUCUGGUAUAAGUGUACUCCACCCUGCCCCGGUGAAGGUUCUAAAUUCAUCUCCCAAUUGGUUCCCUGUCUUGUGUUAGUGUACUCCAUCCUGCUCCGGUAAAGGUUCUAAAUUCAUCUCCCAAUUGGUUCCCUGUCUUGUGUUAGUGUACUCCAUCCUGCUCCGGUAAAGGUUCUAAUUUCAUAUCUUCACGUGUUUUUUUGUUAGCCUUUAUUAUUACCGUUUUUAGGGGUCCACCCUCACUUUAGUUGUCCAUCUGAUACAAACAAAUGCCGUAUCUUAAUCUGCUUCUUAUUCUUAAUCGUCAGUAGGGUACCUUCAAUCAUUGUCUGUUCUAGUUAAGGUUUAUCACUACAUUCUUACAGUCGUUCAUCUUUACACUUCAUGUCACAUUCUCAGAGCAGUAUUUCCCUUGUUAUGCGUACUGAUUGGAGUCACGUGCGUACAGACUGGCUAACGCGCCCUACCCUUGUUCACCUUGUUCCUUGCUCGCCUUCCUCUGGCUCGCUGUUGGCUGCCGGCGCGUCCAACACCGCGUGCGUCCUCUGAAACUGAGCCCACAGAGGGUGUACCGGUGCUGGCUCCAUGCUUUUCCUUGAGAGAGAGAGAGAGAGAGAGAGAGAGAGAGAGAGAGAGAGAGAGAGAGAGAGUUAUGUUUACCUUAGAUUAUUUUUACUCAUUAUCUGUUAAAUGUUGACUUUCUGAGAGCUUCUAAUCAUGGUAGAUGAGAGAGAGAGAGAGAGAGAGAGAGAGAG
This is a long non-coding RNA of Eriocheir sinensis (Chinese mitten crab), 7157 nucleotides long. RefSeq lists it as uncharacterized. NCBI's taxonomy places the organism in Eukaryota, Metazoa, Arthropoda, Malacostraca, Decapoda, Varunidae. The transcript is spliced from 3 exons. The record is from RefSeq and is a predicted model, not a curated record.